Molecule: long non-coding RNA, 669 nt
Organism: Cygnus atratus (black swan)
Lineage: Eukaryota; Metazoa; Chordata; Aves; Anseriformes; Anatidae
Exons: 3
Source: RefSeq, a predicted model, not a curated record
CAGCUGCUCUCCGCUUCCUAGCCGUUAACAGGGGCACCGCAAAUGGCUUCUGUUAAAGAUACAUUUCCCUUCCUACUGCAACCCCUGUGCCCACAGUCUACCGCUGUGAAUGUGAAUGAACCUUUGUACAGGUUCUCUUCGCUCCUUCCCUCUCUCAACAGAUGUAAUGGCGAGAUUUUGGAGAAGCAGAGACCCACUUACAAACCUAAGAAAAGCAACCUCAGUGGGGGUGUGCAGAUGUUUAUUUGAGUGCUCCUUCUCUUUUAUUUCCCUCGAAAGAUGUUGUCAGGCCCCACCUCGCCCGUGCUGGAAGUUGCAGGAGCUGAGGAGGAUCGCUUUGGGGCUGGCUGGGGCUCGGUGCAGCUGCUAUGAGCCAUUGCUGCUCUAAACUUGGGUCUUCCUGCUCUCAAGCCACUUAUGUCACUCUGGUGGAAUAAAGGCUCUAUCUAAAGCUGACAGCAGAGAUGAUUUUUCAACAUGAUAGGAAGUCUGUGAUACCAUUUGACGGUAUUUAUGUUCUCUCCAGAUGACCUGUUUUCAGAAGAAUCUCUUCAAAUGACUUGCCAACAUUAACAGUCCCUAUACUGCAAAUUGCUUAUUAUUAAUAUUACUUAAUUUUAGAGCAUGUAUCACAAAAUAAUUAAAACGUAAUAUUUACAAAGAAGAUUG